ACCACAUAAGUGAUUGUGAGAUCAACCACCCUCUACAUUGAGCAUACAAAAGAUGUACUAGUCUUACCGAUAUCAUCGAUCUCUGACUUGAUGAUCUAAUGAUUGAAAAUAUUUUAGAUUGAGGCUAUCAAGAUUUUAGGUCUUACUGGCAUGAUCUCAUCAUGGCUCUAAAAUCAUUGUCCUAAUCUAUCGGAUUUAUCAUAAUCAUAAAAAUAAGAUGUAGCAAAUGAUAAAAUAUAAUAUCUCAUAAAUAAAAUAAUUAAUGUCAUGCAAAUG
RNAcentral lists this long non-coding RNA (276 nucleotides) under Elaeis guineensis (African oil palm). RNAcentral's name for it is "long non-coding RNA (EGUI_LNC065626)". The record is from RNAcentral. Lineage: Eukaryota; Viridiplantae; Streptophyta; Magnoliopsida; Arecales; Arecaceae.